Long non-coding RNA from Hypanus sabinus (Atlantic stingray), 3823 nucleotides. RefSeq lists it as uncharacterized. The transcript has 2 exons. NCBI's taxonomy places the organism in Eukaryota, Metazoa, Chordata, Chondrichthyes, Myliobatiformes, Dasyatidae. The record is from RefSeq and is a predicted model, not a curated record.
UGUCUUUAUCUUAUCUAUCCCUUUCAUAAUUUUAUGGUUCUAUAAGAUCUCCUCUCAUUCUUCUGUUUUCCAGGCGACUCAAUCUCUCCUCAUAGUCUAACCUCCUUCGUCUCUGGAAUCAACCUGGUGAACCUCCUUUGUACUGCCUCCAAAGCCAGUAUAUCCUUCCUCAAAUAAGGAGACCAGAACUGCACACAAGUGCAGCCUCUCCAGUACCCUGUACAAUUGCAGCAUAACAUCCCUGCUCUUAAAUUCAACACCUCUGGCAAUGAAGGCUAAUGUCCCAUUUGCCUUUUUGAUAGACUGCUGAACCUGCAAACCAACCUUUUGUAAUUCAUGCACAGGCACUCCCAAGUCCCUCUGCACAGCAGCAUCCUGCAAUUUUUUUUACCAUUUAAAUAAUAAUCUGCUCUUCCAUUUUUCCUUUAAAGUGGAUGAUCUCACAUUUACCAACAUUGUAUUCCAUCUGCCAGAUCCUUGCCCACUCAUUUAACCUAUUUAUAUCUCUCUGCAGACUCCCCAUAUCUUAUGCACAAUGUGCUUUUCCACUCAAUUUAGCAUCAUCAGCAAACUUCAGAUACACUACAGUCAGUCCCCUCUUCCAGAUCGUUAAUGUACAAAAUUUGUAUAUCGUUGCGGGCCCAGCACCGACCCCUGCGGCACACCGCUCACUGCAGAUUGCCAACCGGAGUAACACCCAUGUAUUUCAACUCUUAGCUUUCUAUUAGUUAAGCAAUUCUCUAUCCAUGCUAAUGCAGCACCUUAUCGAACAUCUAAUGGAAAUCCAAGUAAAUAAUGUCAAUCUUUUCCCCUCGAUCCACUGCACUCCUUUUAUCCUCAAAGAACUCCAGUAAGUUUGUUAAACAGGACUUGCCUUUGCUGAAUAUGUGCUGUGUCUGCCUGAUGGAUCCAUUUUUUUUCCAAAUGACAGCUUCAAGCAUUUUCCCCAACCACAGAUGUUAAGCUAACUGGCCUAUAGUUAUCUCUGUUUUGCCUGCAUCCUUUUUUGAACAGUGGCAUGACAGUCGGUGUCUUCCAAUCUUCUGGGACCUGCCCAGAGUCCAGAGAAUUUUGGUAGAUUAUUACCAAUGUCUCUACUAUAACUUCUGCCUUUUCUUUCAGUACCCUGGGAAGCAUUCCAUCAGGACCAGAGACUUGUCUAUCUUCAGGCCCACAAGUUUGCUCGGCACUACCUCUUUAGUGAUAGCUAAUGUAUCAAGGUACUCCCCUCCCAUCGCAUCCAUAACAUCUCUCUUUGGCAUGUUAGAUGUGUCCUCCACUGUGAAGACUGUUACAAAAUAAUCAUUUAAAGCCUCUGUCAUUUCUUUGUUACACAACACCAAUUCCCACUUCUCAUCCUCCAACGGACCUAUGUUCACUUUGGCCACCCUUUUCUGCUUUAUAUAAUUUAAAAAUCUUUAUUAUCCGUUUUUAUAUGUUGUGCUAAUUUAUUUUCAUAAUCUAUUUUUCCUUUCUUUAUGCUCACUUAGUGGUUCUUUGACGCUUUUUAAGGUUUUCCCAAUCUUCCAGUUUCCCACGACUCUUGACACCAUGGUUUUUCAGGUAAUCAUCCAGAUGCUUUAAUAUUGUGAGAGCACUUGCCAUCACUACCCACUCAAGCAGAGACUUCUAGAUUCCAACUAUUUUCUAAGACAGAUUCAGAUCUUUCUCAGGUUGUCUCUAAACCCCUAGCCCUUACCCUAAACCCUCUCUGGUUUUAGAUAUCAAUGCUACAGGAAGAAUUCUAUUUACCAUAGUCAUACCCCUAAAGACAAACCUGACUAAUCCAAUCUCUCCUUGUAAAUGAAUCACUUCAUCCCAGGAAAUAUACCUGGUGAAUCUCCUCAGCUCCUUCUCCAGUCCAAUAACAUCCUUUUUUUCGAGUUUAUAGGUAAACACUGCUAAGACAGGUUAAGAAAAGGUUAAGAGACCUGGAAUCUGACAGAACAAAUGGUCGAGCAUAGGUAUAUUCUGAAUGUCUCUGACUGGAAGUUAAACGAUAGUUGUUGGCUUUUCACCCCACCAGGGAAAUUAAAAUCAUUUUAUUUGCACUGGAGCAAUCUGCAGUAACAAUAUCAUCUCAUCUGGAUACAAAGUACAAAAUACAGAGUAUAUUUGUUAUCGAAGUAUACAACUUUGAGAUUUGUCUUCUUGCAGACAGCCACAAAACAAAGAAACACUGUGGAACCUGUUUAAAGAAAGACCUCUCACAACAAGAUCAUCAGGCAUGCAAAAAAACAAAUCAAGCAGCCAGCAAAGAGUGAACAAAUAACACACAAAAUAUCUCACUGGAGAGCCCACAGCCACAAGGAUUAUGCAUCAGUUGCCCAUUUAAUGCCAGCAAGAACACUGAACAUGGAUUACGUGGUUACAUUCAUUUGAGCACAAUAAGGCACCUUCUGCAAUUGUGAUUUUGUUCUUAAAAUGUUAACCCCAAGAAGAGGGCAAGGAAAGUAGUACUGUAGCUGUAAACAAAUAUUACAAAUUGUAUGCCUGUUACUGGAACUACUCCUCUUCUCACUGGUGUUUCCACCCCAGAACUAAUUGCCUGUGGAGACCUCUCCAGCUUCACUUUUUGGGGCUUAAACUCCAGUGCUUUGAAACUAAAACAACUUGCUUGGAGUAAGGCAACCAGAAGUGUCAACAGGCUGGACAUCUCAGUCAGUAGUGGUAUUCUGCCAAACUGCCUGCUCAUUGGGAAACACGUGGAAAGAAUAGAUUUCAUUACUUCAAGUCAUGUGAAGUGCCAUGUACCAUUCAGCUAGGUCUUCUAAUAUACAAUAACAAACCACAACAAAUUUAGAGUGGAUCAAAUUAUAUGUGCCUUUAUUACUUGCAAGGGAAGGUCUAUCUAGAUACAUUAAGUUGGUAGGUAGCUUCAAUCUUACAGCUCAGGACAAAACAUUUUUAUACUUUUACAAAGGUCAGUAAUUCAUCAAUUUCAUGUCUUUGAGGUUGUUCCAUCCCAUAAUGGCAUUCCUUCCUUACCUGUAUCUGUGGCAUCUGUCUCUUAAUCAGUCAAUUUAUCUUUUGAAGCUUAUGCCCCUCAUUUCAGCUGUAUCCUGUUUACUUCGGUUAGCACAUCCCUGCUAUAAAACACACACAGACUUCUUGUAAGCCUCCCAUCCAAACCAACUAGCAAAGUACCCUGGGAUCCAUUUUGUCACAUUACCAUUUACAAAAGUUGUAAGUUCAUAAAGACUUGAGGCUUGCAGAUAUAUUUCCACAUUAACAUCUCUGAGAACAUAUUAAUUUCUAAUAAAGUGCCUGUGGUCUAUUUUAGAGCCAUUAACAUUGGAUUGUAGAAUGACAUACAAUUUAUAAAUGUAACAGGAUGGAACAGGGACUCUUAUAACGGAUGAAGCAGGCUCACGGGCGACUAUGGAUGAAACCGGCUGACAGCAGCGGGUCCUGUAGUCAAUACUGAAGAUUGAAGCCGAAAGGUUGAUUGGAAGUCCGGACUUUGAGCCUGAUGGCUGAAGCCCUGCAUCUGCAAGUUUGUGAGUCUGCUGGAGGCUGACGGCCCGGAGGUGGACUGUUCGGAGCUGGAGGAUUGCGUGUGUGUGUGUGUGUGUGUGUGUGAGGGAGAAAGGGGGCUUGCUUUGCCAUGGUUACGUUGUUAUUUCUUGCACUGUUCAGCUGAACGUUGUGGAAAUAAAUGCUAUGUGGGCGCUGGAAUGUGUUGUGUCACUUGCCGGCUGCCCCCAGCACAUCCUUAGGUUGCUUUGAUUGUUAAUGCAAACAAUGUAUUUCACUGUAUGUUUUCAUUAAAUCUGAAUCUGAAUAUGAUCUGAAUUAAAAUAGGUGCCUAUAUGUAAACUGA